AUUGAACGCUGGCGGCAUGCCUUACACAUGCAAGUCGAACGGCAGCGGGGGAGAAGCUUGCUUUUCCUGCCGGCGAGUGGCGAACGGGUGAGUAAUACAUCGGAACGUGCCCUGUAGUGGGGGAUAACUAGUCGAAAGAUUGGCUAAUACCGCAUACAACCUGAGGGUGAAAGUGGGGGACCGCAAGGCCUCAUGCUCUAGGAGCGGCCGAUGUCUGAUUAGCUAGUUGGUGGGGUAAAGGCCUACCAAGGCGACGAUCAGUAGCUGGUCUGAGAGGACGAUCAGCCACACUGGGACUGAGACACGGCCCAGACUCCUACGGGAGGCAGCAGUGGGGAAUUUUGGACAAUGGGCGAAAGCCUGAUCCAGCAAUGCCGCGUGUGUGAAGAAGGCCUUCGGGUUGUAAAGCACUUUUGUCCGGAAAGAAAUGGCUCUGGUUAAUACCUGGGGUCGAUGACGGUACCGGAAGAAUAAGGACCGGCUAACUACGUGCCAGCAGCCGCCGUAA
RNAcentral lists this ribosomal RNA (508 nucleotides) under uncultured bacterium. RNAcentral describes it as "partial 16S ribosomal RNA". It matches the Rfam family "Bacterial small subunit ribosomal RNA", at positions 30 to 523 of the family's 1533-position model. The record is from RNAcentral.